This 253-nucleotide ribosomal RNA is filed under the name uncultured bacterium. Its description in RNAcentral is "partial 16S ribosomal RNA". It matches the Rfam family "Bacterial small subunit ribosomal RNA", at positions 524 to 776 of the family's 1533-position model. The record is from RNAcentral.
UACGGAGGGGGCGAGCGUUAUUCGGAAUUAUUGGGCGUAAAGGGCGCGUAGGCGGCUUGAUGUGUCAAAGGUGAAAUCCCUCGGCUCAACUGAGGAACUGCCCUCCAAACUGCUUGGCUUGAGUCCGGGAGAGGUGAGUGGAAUUCCCAGUGUAGCGGUGAAAUGCGUAGAUAUUGGGAGGAACACCAGUGGCGAAGGCGGCUCACUGGACCGGAACUGACGCUGAGGCGCGAAAGCGUGGGGAGCAAACGGG